RNAcentral lists this ribosomal RNA (258 nucleotides) under uncultured bacterium. Its description in RNAcentral is "partial 16S ribosomal RNA". It matches the Rfam family "Bacterial small subunit ribosomal RNA", at positions 522 to 776 of the family's 1533-position model. The record is from RNAcentral.
UACAGAGGGGUGCGAAGCGUUUGUCCGGAAUCAUUGGGCGUAAAGCGCGUGUAGGCGGCUGAGUAAGUCUGCUCUGAAAGCCCGGGGCUCAACCCCGGGAGGCGGGUGGAUACUGCUCAGCUCGAGUCCGGAAGAGGAGUGUGGAAUUCCUGGUGUAGCGGUGAAAUGCGCAGAUAUCAGGAGGAACACCAAUGGCGAAGGCAGCACUCUGGGGACGGUACUGGACGCUGAGACGCGAAAGCGUGGGGAGCAAACAGG